AAGACGGGGAUAACCUUCGAAAGGAGGGCUAAUACCCGAUGUGCUUGCACCGUUUAGAAGGGUGUAAGUAAAGCUCCGGCGCUUCGGGAGGGGCCAGCGGCCUAUCAGCUAGUUGGUAGGGUAAUGGCCUACCAAGGCGAAGACGGGUAGGGGGCGUGAGAGCGCGGCCCCCCACAAUGGAACUGAGACACGGUCCAUACUCCUUCGGGAGGCAGCAGUGAGGAAUAUUGCACAAUGGGGGAAACCCUGAUGCAGCGACGCCGCGUGGGUGAAGAAGGCCUUCGGGUCGUAAAACCCUUUUCCAGGGGACGAGGCAGGACGGUACCCUGGGAAUAAGUCCCGGCUAACUACGUGCCAGCAGCCGCGGUAAAACGUAGGGGGCGAGCGUUAUCCGGAAUCACUGGGCGUAAAGCGCGUGCAGGCGGUCUGGUAGGUUGGACGUGAAAGCUCCUGGCUUAACUAGGAGAGGCCGUUCAAAACCGCCAGGCUUGAGGGCGGAAGAGGGGAGUGGAAUUCCCGGUGUAGCGGUGGAAUGCGCAGAUAUCGGGAGGAACACCCGUGGCGAAAGCGGCUCCCUGGUCCGCACCUGACGCUCAGACGCGAAAGCGUGGGGAGCGAACGGGAUUUAGAUACCCCGGUAGUCCACGCCGUAAACGAUGGAUGCUAGGUGUGGGAGGUCUUGACCCCUUCCGUGCCGUAGCUAACGCGUUAAGCAUCCCGCCUGGGGACUACGGCCGCAAGGUUAAAACUCAAAGGAAUUGACGGGGGCCCGCACAAGCAGCGGAGCGUGUGGUUUAAUUCGAUGCUACACGAAGAACCUUACCUGGGCUUGACAUGUACGUGGUAGGGAAGCGAAAGCGGACCGACCCUUCGGGGAGCGUACACAGGUGCUGCAUGGCUG
Molecule: ribosomal RNA, 901 nt
Filed under: uncultured bacterium
Lineage: Bacteria
Description: bacterial SSU rRNA
Rfam family: Bacterial small subunit ribosomal RNA
Source: RNAcentral